CCUACGGGUGGCAGCAGUGGGGAAUAUUGGACAAUGGGGGGAACCCUGAUCCAGCCAUGCCGCGUGUGUGAAGAAGGCCCUCGGGUUGUAAAGCACUUUCAGUGAGGAAGAACGCCUGGUGGUUAAUACCCAUCAGGAAAGACAUCACUCACAGAAGAAGCACCGGCUAACUCCGUGCCAGCAGCCGCGGUAAUACGGAGGGUGCGAGCGUUAAUCGGAAUUACUGGGCGUAAAGCGCGCGUAGGUGGCUUGAUAAGCCGGUUGUGAAAGCCCCGGGCUCAACCUGGGAACGGCAUCCGGAACUGUCAAGCUAGAGUGCAGGAGAGGAAGGUAGAAUUCCCGGUGUAGCGGUGAAAUGCAUAGAGAUCGGGAGGAAUACCAGUGGCGAAGGCGGCCUUCUGGACUGACACUGACACUGAGGUGCGAAAGCGUGGGUAGCAAACAGGAUUAGAUACCCCUGUAGUC
RNAcentral lists this ribosomal RNA (465 nucleotides) under Vreelandella stevensii. Its description in RNAcentral is "partial 16S ribosomal RNA". It matches the Rfam family "Bacterial small subunit ribosomal RNA", at positions 338 to 795 of the family's 1533-position model. The record is from RNAcentral. Lineage: Bacteria; Pseudomonadati; Pseudomonadota; Gammaproteobacteria; Oceanospirillales; Halomonadaceae.